CACUUCCGUUUGGGGGAAGGCCCUGCGACGCUCCCCCUUCCGCGAGCGCGGAGUGCGCACGCGGCAAACUGGGAGGUGGUUUCGGGGGACGGAGUCGGUGGCCGGCUGAGCUUCGAUGAAUUUCUUUGUCUUGGUCGCUGGCCGCGGCGUGCGCCGUGCGGAGGAGGUUCGCUGGCGGAGCUCUGUGUCUGCAUUUGCGGACAAAAGUUGUGGAAGAAAUGGCAAUAAACGCCAGCAGUUACAGAGCCAGUGCGGCCCCGGCAGCGAGAGUGGUGCCACCAAGCUCCUUCCCCAGGACUUCACUCAGCAUCUCAGCAUCCAGGUGCCAGAGCUUUGAAAUGUGUCUCACCAGCUUCACUGUACCUGCUCAGAGCACUGGCAACAGCUGAGUGGCGCUACCUCCUCCACCACAGUUGGAGUCCCGGCCCCAUGAGAAUUUCCUCUGGGUUCAGAGACACCAGCAGGUGACAUCAAUACUUGGCGCUUCUUCUGUGGCUCUGCAUGGCGCAUGGUUAUCCCCCUGUAAGACCUGUG
This is a long non-coding RNA of Zalophus californianus (California sea lion), 534 nucleotides long. RefSeq lists it as uncharacterized. The record is from RefSeq and is a predicted model, not a curated record. The transcript is spliced from 4 exons. NCBI's taxonomy places the organism in Eukaryota, Metazoa, Chordata, Mammalia, Carnivora, Otariidae.